AGCACACAACUUGUUAAGAUCGGGACAUGGGGUGGAAAUGGAGGAGGUCGUGUAGACCUAUCUGUACUCCCAAGGAGCUUGAAAAGCAUUACACUUGGAUCUCAGGAAUUCGUGAAGGGAAUCUCCGGAACUUUUACCAACGUCGUGACAAACCUUAAAAUUGUCACCAAUGUCACCACUUAUAAUUUUGGACAAGGUGGUGGAACUGCUUUUAGCCUCCCGCUGCAGAGCGGUAGUGUGGUUGGUUUCUUCGGACGCGCGGGAGCACUUGUGGACUCUAUCGGAGUUUAUGUCCACAUAUGA
This 303-nucleotide long non-coding RNA is filed under the name Oryza sativa Indica Group (long-grained rice). RNAcentral describes it as "lncRNA OsLaMu_06g0004860". Lineage: Eukaryota; Viridiplantae; Streptophyta; Magnoliopsida; Poales; Poaceae. The record is from RNAcentral. RNAcentral also lists the same sequence under 1 other name.